Molecule: ribosomal RNA, 1332 nt
Filed under: uncultured bacterium
Lineage: Bacteria
Description: bacterial SSU rRNA
Rfam family: Bacterial small subunit ribosomal RNA
Source: RNAcentral
GACGAACGCUGGCGGCGCGCCUAACACAUGCAAGUCGAACGAGCGAGAGAGAGCUUACUUUCUCGAGCGAGUGGCGAACGGGUGAGUAACGCGUGAGGAACCUGCCUCAAAGAGGGGGACAACAGUUGGAAACGACUGCUAAUACCGCAUAAGCCCACGGCUCGGCAUCGAGCAGAGGGAAAAGGAGCAAUCCGCUUUGAGAUGGCCUCGCGUCCGAUUAGCUAGUUGGUGAGGUAACGGCCCACCAAGGCGACGAUCGGUAGCCGGACUGAGAGGUUGAACGGCCACAUUGGGACUGAGACACGGCCCAGACUCCUACGGGAGGCAGCAGUGGGGAAUAUUGCACAAUGGGGGAAACCCUGAUGCAGCGACGCCGCGUGGAGGAAGAAGGUCUUCGGAUUGUAAACUCCUGUUGUUGAGGAAGAUAAUGACGGUACUCAACAAGGAAGUGGCGGCUAACUACGUGCCAGCAGCCGCGGUAAAACGUAGGUCACAAGCGUUGUCCGGAAUUACUGGGUGUAAAGGGAGCGCAGGCGGGAAGACAAGUUGGAAGUGAAAUCCAUGGGCUCAACCCAUGAACUGCUUUCAAAACUGUUUUUCUUGAGUAGUGCAGAGGUAGGCGGAAUUCCCGGUGUAGCGGUGGAAUGCGUAGAUAUCGGGAGGAACACCAGUGGCGAAGGCGGCCUACUGGGCACCAACUGACGCUGAGGCUCGAAAGUGUGGGUAGCAAACAGGAUUAGAUACCCUGGUAGUCCACACUGUAAACGAUGAUUACUAGGUGUUGGAGGAUUGACCCCUUCAGUGCCGCAGUUAACACAAUAAGUAAUCCACCUGGGGAGUACGACCGCAAGGUUGAAACUCAAAGGAAUUGACGGGGGCCCGCACAAGCAGUGGAGUAUGUGGUUUAAUUCGACGCAACGCGAAGAACCUUACCAAGUCUUGACAUCCUGCGACGCACAUAGAAAUAUGUGUUUCCUUCGGGACGCAGAGACAGGUGGUGCAUGGUUGUCGUCAGCUCGUGUCGUGAGAUGUUGGGUUAAGUCCCGCAACGAGCGCAACCCUUAUGGUCAGUUACUACGCAAGAGGACUCUGGCCAGACUGCCGUUGACAAAACGGAGGAAGGUGGGGAUGACGUCAAAUCAUCAUGCCCUUUAUGACUUGGGCUACACACGUACUACAAUGGCGUUAAACAAAGAGAAGCAAGACCGCGAGGUGGAGCAAAACUCAGAAACAACGUCCCAGUUCGGACUGCAGGCUGCAACUCGCCUGCACGAAGUCGGAAUUGCUAGUAAUCGCAGAUCAGCAUGCUGCGGUGAAUACGUUCCCGGGCCU